Long non-coding RNA from Ficedula albicollis (Collared flycatcher), 1763 nucleotides. RefSeq lists it as uncharacterized. The record is from RefSeq and is a predicted model, not a curated record. Lineage: Eukaryota; Metazoa; Chordata; Aves; Passeriformes; Muscicapidae. The transcript is spliced from 11 exons.
CUCUCCUUGCCUCCUCUUCUCUGCUGAUAUUUUCCCAUGCAAAUUCAUCUUCAAUAACUACUUCAAAAUUAUUAAUGGACAUCAUAAGUUAAAUGGUGGGUGUGACUGAAUUUGUCAGAACUGAGCAUUUACAAAGCCUACUUUUUAAAAACUGCUUUGUCUUCAGGCCAGGACCCUGUGCCUUUUACUGUCUGGUGCAAACCUUCCGAAUUGUUGCCGCCGAUGUACCGAGUUUUGAAAGAAAUGCAUUUCAAAGGCCUGAAUAAACAUUAUGUGCGUGGCCUUUCCAUGUUGCUGACUCUGCAGUGGAGUCUGCUGUUAUUUCCUGAGAGUGAGGUGGGAUUGUGGACAUUUGGGGGGUGUCAGGAAAGCUCCGGGCUGUGCAUCCUGUGUCGCAGCCCAUUAAUCAGCUGGGGAGCGGAGUGGAACCUCACCUGCUUCCUCCUCCACUUCCUUCUGCAGGGAGCUGCUGCUCCUACUCAGUGCCUCCCAACAAGCCUCGGGAAUCUGCAUUUCAAGUCCUGCCAAAGGGGAGUGCAGCAGUGUUUGACAGUGGCAGCGGAUAUGGGGAAGGGCGAGCCUCCAACAGGUCAGGCAGUCCCUCUCAUCUUUGACAUGAUGGCCACAGCAGAUCCACAAGUACCUGAUGGAUGAGGAUGGCAUGGGUGUCAUGCUGUGCAUAACACAAGCACCAAAAGGCUGAGCAUCAGGGCCAGCCCAGGAAAACUUCUUGAGCGUCUUUCUCUCUUCGUUCCAGAGGCAGCCAGGCUGCUUUCCUCCCGUGAGGAGAUGGGAGAAGGAGGACAAGAAUGACAGUUCACUGAAGCUGAAAGAGAAGCGAACAAAAGGUCAACUGUUACUGUCCCAUCUUACAGAAGAGGAAGGUGCAGGGAGGUGCUGUCCAGGGCCCCUCACUGCCAAGGAAUAGCCUGUGUAAUUGGAAAUGUGACUUGGAGGGGAAGAUGGAGGCUGAUCUGGGGACAGAGAACUGCCUGGCCACAGGAAUCAGGAGCCAAGGAGUCCUUGUAGAUUUUCACACAAAAGAGCUCAAUCCACACAGAAGCUCCUUGGCUGUUCAGAAGAGCUCCCACCUCCACUCUCAGCUGUUUUGGCACACAGGAGAGCACUCCCACACCUGCAGGGGCACCGUGUCCCUCCUGGGCUGUCCCUUGGGGCUGAGGGAAGGACAUGCAGGUGCAGCUAUGAAGAUAUGAUAAUACCAGAACUGGAGACAGAAGGUCCUGUUGGGGAUAAAGAAGCAGAGUGAAGGAGUGGAAGCCAAACCUAAAAGUGCACAGCCAGUGUCUAGCGUGGCAACACCAUCAGAAGAGCAUUAUGAGCUGCAUGCCAGCUUGAUUGGCAAAUUGGUGAGGUGUGUACCUCACAGCCACAGCUGCACCUUGGUGCCAGAAGUCAAUACCUGGAGCAGAACAGCAAGGAGCAGCUACGGUCAGAUCAAACCACACUCCAGAAAUGGCCAUGAAUAUGUAUUCUGUCUUUUGACACUCCUUUGUGCUGGCUUUUGGAGAAGGCUGUAGAGGAUCUGAGAAGUUAAAGCUGGAGUGGACCCACAAGACCCAUCUGUCUGCCUCCCUGAGCAGAGCAGAAGGUCAAGAGGAUUUCUUUUAUAGAGAAGCAGGAGUGGGAAGUGAAUGAAAUUGGAUCAAAGGGAGGAGUACAGGUGACACCUCCUGGAAACCUCAGCCUGCACAGCUUUGAUGGGAUGUGAACGAAGGGCCCCUGCUGCUGUGUUUGGAAAGAAA